Molecule: microRNA precursor, 101 nt
Organism: Gorilla gorilla gorilla (western lowland gorilla)
Lineage: Eukaryota; Metazoa; Chordata; Mammalia; Primates; Hominidae
Source: Ensembl
GAUCAGGCCCAGCCCCCUGGCCCCAAACCCUGCAGCCCCAGCUGGAGGAUGAGGAGAUGCUGGGCUUGGGUGGGGGAAUCAGGGGUGUAAAGGGGCCUGCU